CCGGCUGAUGAGACCAAGGCGAAUGUGACUCAGGCUCUGCCCAUGGCUCCCAGGCGGGGGGCUGCAGGUGGGAUCUGGGAUCUUGGUGGGGACACCCAAGGCCAGGCUCCCCGCGGUAGGCUAGAUCCAUAGCACUGCUGGCCUCCCCUCAUGUCUGCUGCUGCCUUUGGCUCCUGGCAGUGGCCAUUGGGGAGGCCCACAGGCGGGGCUGGGGUUGGUGGGCAGAAGCUUCGUGAGCACAGGCUUGGAUCUGACG
Molecule: small nucleolar RNA, 256 nt
Organism: Heterocephalus glaber (naked mole-rat)
Lineage: Eukaryota; Metazoa; Chordata; Mammalia; Rodentia; Bathyergidae
Source: Ensembl